GGAGGGUGCGAGCGUUAAUCGGAAUUACUGGGCGUAAAGCGUGCGUAGGCGGAUACUUGAGUCGGAUGUGAAAGCCCCCGGCUUAACCUGAGAAUUGCAUCCGAUACUGCUCUGUCUAGAGUGCAGGUAGAGGGGAGUGGAAUUCCCAGUGUAGCGGUGAAAUGCGUAGAUAUUGGGAGGAACACCAGUGGCGAAGGCGGCUCUCUGGCCUGUUUCUGACGCUGAGGCGCGAAAGCGUGGGGAGCAAACAGGAUUAGAUACCCUGGUAGUCCACGCUGUAAACGAUGGGUGCUAGGUGUAGGAGGUAUCGACCCCUUCUGUGCCGUAGUUAACACAAUAAGCACCCCGCCUGGGGAGUACGGCCGCAAGGUUG
This 373-nucleotide ribosomal RNA is filed under the name uncultured bacterium. RNAcentral's name for it is "bacterial SSU rRNA". It matches the Rfam family "Bacterial small subunit ribosomal RNA", at positions 527 to 896 of the family's 1533-position model. The record is from RNAcentral.